GAUGAACGCUAGCGGCAGGCCUAACACAUGCAAGUCGAGGGGUAGAGGAAGCUUGCUUCCUUGAGACCGGCGCACGGGUGCGUAACGCGUAUGCAAUCUACCUUAUACAGGGGAAUAGCCCAGAGAAAUUUGGAUUAAUGCCCCAUAGUGUUAUUGAAUCGCAUGGUUUAGUAACUAAAGUUCCAACGGUAUAAGAUGAGCAUGCGUCCCAUUAGUUAGUUGGUAAGGUAACGGCUUACCAAGACAAUGAUGGGUAGGGGUCCUGAGAGGGAGAUCCCCCACACUGGUACUGAGACACGGACCAGACUCCUACGGGAGGCAGCAGUGAGGAAUAUUGGUCAAUGGGCGCAAGCCUGAACCAGCCAUGCCGCGUGCAGGAAGACGGUCCUAUGGAUUGUAAACUGCUUUUAUACAGGAAGAAACCCUCCCACGUGUGGGAGAUUGACGGUACUGUAGGAAUAAGGAUCGGCUAACUCCGUG
This 480-nucleotide ribosomal RNA is filed under the name uncultured bacterium. RNAcentral's name for it is "bacterial SSU rRNA". It matches the Rfam family "Bacterial small subunit ribosomal RNA", at positions 28 to 507 of the family's 1533-position model. The record is from RNAcentral.